Molecule: long non-coding RNA, 286 nt
Organism: Canis lupus familiaris (dog)
Lineage: Eukaryota; Metazoa; Chordata; Mammalia; Carnivora; Canidae
Exons: 3
Source: RefSeq, a predicted model, not a curated record
CUCAACUCAAGGAGACUGCUGAACUCUGUUUGGGUACACCUUCCCUAUGCUAGAGUUUGGAAGCACUUUCUGGGCAGUAAGAUCAUCAUCCCCAGGCAGCAUAGUGUUUCAGCUGUCUGUCCAACAAUGUGGCAGUCUUAGAUCCUUUCCUCCUUCACUCCAGUGCUGAGCUUGCUCUUGCUGGAUCUAUCCUAAAGUCCUCUGCACGGCGCAGCAGUGACUGCUCUAAACCGUAUAGUUUACCAUGCAUGAGCUUGCCCCGGCAGCAUUCUCAGCUUCUAGGACU